Molecule: transfer RNA, 61 nt
Filed under: Fukomys damarensis (Damara mole-rat)
Lineage: Eukaryota; Metazoa; Chordata; Mammalia; Rodentia; Bathyergidae
Rfam family: tRNA
About the family: Transfer RNA (tRNA) molecules are approximately 80 nucleotides in length.
Source: Rfam by way of RNAcentral
UGUAGCUCAGUGAUAAAGCACUUGCCUAACAUGCAUGAGGCCCUGGGUUCAAUCCCCAGUA